Non-coding RNA from Lactuca sativa (garden lettuce), 2596 nucleotides. The record is from RefSeq and is a predicted model, not a curated record. Lineage: Eukaryota; Viridiplantae; Streptophyta; Magnoliopsida; Asterales; Asteraceae.
UUUUAUUUUGACUAUGAAAUCAAUGAGUUUGACUACGAAAUAACCUUAUUAUAUAUAAAUUUUUGUAGAAAAUUAUCAGUUUACUAGUUAUUUGUUUAAGAAAUUUCUUUAAAAUCUCUCUAAAAAAUUCAUUGAAUAUUUGGUUUGUCUUGUAACCGGUGGGAGAUGACAAGUUAUUGAAACAAUUCUAGAAUACGUAUGUCCAUAGGGAGUUAUUUAUGAAUUCGUUUUGAUAUUUUCUGAGUAUGUUAGUUAUAGUGAUGAAGCAUAAUUGGUUUGUUAGACAAAUAUAGAAUUAGUCUUCGUUUCCAUCAUCCUGAAUUGAAUUAAUAUAUAGCUAUAGUUGAAGACAUUGAUGUUAGAAUGUUGAUAAAUGUAAUCAAAUGUAGCGGAGGAAGGGCAGUGAAAGUGAUUGUGGUGGUUGAUGAAGGAGAUGAGGUUAAUGAGGCUGGUCAUAAUGGAAAUGAGGCGGUUGGUAAUUUAUGCAGCUAUAGAGGGAGCAACGAUCCGAUAGGUACUUUCAAUACUCCUAGUGUACCUCAAUUUCACAGUGUUGCUGAAAAUGCUAAUGUUAGUUAUUCACCUAUUCACUAUGUGGAUCCUGAGAAUUACAAGUAUGUUGGUGAUGAUGAUGUUGGUACAUAUCUUAAUGACGUGGGCGAUCGCUAUGUUGAUGUUCCCGAAUAAGAAGUUAAAGUUAUGAAUAGGUGUGAGUAGAUAAAAGUAAAAAGAAAAAAAAAAUAUGCGUCAAAAAGAUGAAAAAAUGCAUGUUUACGGGGAUUAUGUUGAUGUUGCUGAUGUAGGUUUAGAUAUAAUCGGCUUACAAAGCAAUUCAGAUGGAGAUGAGUUGGGUGAUGAAGUUAAACCUAAGUUUCCCGAUAACCUUUUGUUACGGUAUGCCCCCUCUAACAGCAUGCCCAGUUGAUAUUAAUGAAGAUAUCCCAACACAGAUGGUAGACAUCAGUCUUCAAAAGAUUGAAUGUGAGAGUAUAUUUAAGAACAAAGAACUUUUAAAGCGGUGUAUUGGUAAAAAUUGUCUUCAAGAAGGUUUUCAGACGAGGACAAGUAGAUCCACCAAAUCAAGGCAUGACGUGCGAAACAAUAUGCAUUGUUGUUGUUAAGGGGUACGAAAGACGAUUCUUUUUACCAAACUUUCGGCUUAUUUCCACAAUUUGGUCAAACAUAAUCCGGGUACGGUGACACAUAUUAAAACAGAUGGUGAUGAUCGCUUUGAGGUUUUGUACGUCGCACUUGGUUGUUCGGUUAGUAUUUUAAUAUUUUAUUAUUUUUUUCAUUUUUAUUUUGGUGUAUUUGAAUAGAUAUACAAUGUAUUGUAGGUACGUGCUUUUGUCAAUUUUUGUAAACCGACCCUUGUAGUAGAUGGAGCCCACCUAAAGGGCGAGUUCAAAGGUACAAUGUUACUUGUAGUUACUAAGGACGGACAAAACCAAAUAUUACCAGUUGCAUAUGGUAUAUGCAAAAAUGAGUGUACAGAUUCUUGGACAUGGUUUUUUCAAAAACUAUGUGAUUGCAUAGGCAAUAUGCAGGAGUUUACAAUUAUAUCUGAUAGAUCUCCAUCUAUAGCAACAUCCGUUGCCAACAUUUUUCCUCACGCUCAUCACGGCAUAUGUGGUGUCCAUUUGUAUUUUAACAUAGUAUCUAUAUUCGAGAAGAGUAACACAAUUAAAGGAAUUUUUUGGGAGGCUUGUAGGGCGUACACAGUUGAUGCUUUUGACGCCGUCAUGGAAGUUAUGAAAAAGACAAAAGAACCAGUAUGGAAGUACUUAAAAAGUAUAAAUCCAGAAACUUAGUCUAGGGCACAUUUUAGAGGGAACCGAUACAAUCUUAUGUCGUCCAACAGUGCGGAGUCUAUAAAUGCAUUAUCUAGACACGCACGUAAGGUGCCGACACUUAUGUUGAUCGAUUUUUUUCGUGCAACAAUGCAACAAUGGUGGUUUCAAAGAUAUAACUUUGCAGCGGAAGCAACAACAGCACUCGUCCCAUGGGCCGAUGAUAUUGUAAAAGAAAACAAUAAAACUUUUAGUAAUUGGGAUGUUCGGAUGAUCUCAAAUACAAAAUACGAGGUCAAAAAGGGGGCACAAAACGUGAUUGUUGAUUUCCAACAUAUGACAUGUACAUGUAGGCAUCGGCAACUUGAUUGGAUACCUUGUGGUCAUGUCAUAAGAUGUUUAACAGUGAACAAUUACAAAAGACUGCUCGAGGUAUGCAUUAAAUGCUUACUUUACCGAAACACUGAGGAAAACGUAUGAGGAAUCAAUAAACCCUUUGCCAAAGCCAUCCGAAUGGGAUAUCCCCUAUAAUUUGAUGAUUGUUAAGCCACCUAUAAUGGAUAAACUUCAGCCAGGCAGGCCAAGAAACACAAACCGCAUUCCAUCCCAAGGCGAGGGUCCAAUAAGAAAAAAGUGUUCUACAUGUGGCCUACUAGGACACACGAGAAACAAUUGUACUGGAAGGGCGUCCGGUAGUGGAACACGUCGCACAACAAUUUAUACUGCAGAAAUGAAAUUUAAUAUUGGUGGUUCAGUGAGUUGCUCACAAACCUAUGACGCUGAUUUUGAUAUAAAACAACCUUGAA